RNAcentral lists this transfer RNA (72 nucleotides) under Helianthus annuus (common sunflower). Its description in RNAcentral is "tRNA HanXRQr2_Chr13g0617351". The record is from RNAcentral. Lineage: Eukaryota; Viridiplantae; Streptophyta; Magnoliopsida; Asterales; Asteraceae.
GCAUGCCCGGCCGAGUGGUUAAGUGUUUGUUUGUUAAGCAUGAGGUCUCCGGUUCGAUCCUGGUCACGCGCA